This is a long non-coding RNA of Mastomys coucha (southern multimammate mouse), 689 nucleotides long. RefSeq lists it as uncharacterized. NCBI's taxonomy places the organism in Eukaryota, Metazoa, Chordata, Mammalia, Rodentia, Muridae. The transcript is spliced from 2 exons. The record is from RefSeq and is a predicted model, not a curated record.
CCCUGACUGGUGAAGCGAAAAGGACCAAUCUUCCAAACGCCUCACCAAAGUGGCCCAUCCUUGGAUGCCCAUUGGCUUAUGGGAUUCGACUGGCAAACACCCGUUGUGCGACAGAAUUCAACCUGGUGGCACACACCUGGAAUCUCAACACUGAGUCUGAGGCCAGACUGGGCUACAAGCUACAGAAAAAUGAAAGAAAAAGCAAACAAAGACUUGAUGAAGACUAUCUAUGAUCUACCCAAUUGGAAGAAAUUGUGGGGUUUGGGUUUUGUUCUUUCUCCUGACAAUGAGUCUUACCUUACAGCCAGGCUGGCUUGAGCUGACUAUAUCUAGUCCCAGACAGGUCUACACUUACAGUCCUUGCUCCUGAAGUGCAAGAGAUUUACAGCAUGAGCAGGGACUGCCCCAGCCCAACCUCUCUUACCCCCACAGCGGUCAGAAAUUGUAACUAAGUGUCACUCAACUUUAUUAAAAGUGCCUUCUGAAUGAGUUGCAUGUACAAGAACUAUAUAAAGAAAACAGCCAUCUGUCCCUUUGGACAGUCUAAAACUUAGUAAGCAGACCAUUAUAAAGUAACAUAUUAGCCUAAAUGAUAAUGAGGCUGAUAGACAAACCUAAGGCCUUCUGGAUCCCCGCUUGGUGUUUGUUUCUAAAAGGACAGAGAUAUAAACUAUUCUAUUUGCCAUCAA